AUGUUUCCCCCUUCUAAAGAGGAGAUCUUUGAUGCGAUCCGAACUGCCAAUUCUAACAUAGCUUUCGGGCCUGAUGGUUUCUCCAUUCCUUUCUUUAGGCAGUUCCGGCCUCAGUUAAAAGGCCUCAUUCAGGCAAUUAUUCAAGGUUUUUGGCUGGGAACUAUUGACAUCUCAAGAUUUAAUUAUGCGGUACUCACUCUCAUCCCUAAGGUCAAAGGUGCUAACUUGAUCUCCCAGUUUAGGCCCAUUGCCUUAAUUAACAACUUUGCGAAGAUCCCGGCUAAGGGUCUGGCUACAAGGCUUUCUCCGAUCGCCCAUCGCGUCAUUAGCCCUUUCCAAUCAGCGUUUAUAAAGGGUAGAUUUAUUCUAGAUGGUGUUCUAUGUUUGCAUGAGAUUGUCCAUGACUUGCGGACCAAGGGUACUAAGCCAGUGGUUCUUAAACUUGACUUCGAGAAGGCUUAUGACUCGGUGAGCUGGAAUUUUCUUCGCCAAGUCCUUCUUGCUAAAGGUUUCGAGGGUGCGGUGGUUCACGGUCUUAUGCAGCUCGUCUCGGGAGGGCACACGACUGUGGCGGUUAAUGGGCAGAUUAGUAAUUUCUUUGCUAACGGUAGGGGCCUUAGACAAGGAGACCCGGCGUCCCCCUCCUUCUCUUUAACUUCGUUGCGGAUGCUCUUUCUCAUAUCCUUUCUCAAGCAGCUAGUGCUGGUCACAUUACACUUGUUAGCUCUCACUUGA
RNAcentral lists this ribosomal RNA (735 nucleotides) under Triticum aestivum (bread wheat). RNAcentral's name for it is "partial small subunit ribosomal RNA". Lineage: Eukaryota; Viridiplantae; Streptophyta; Magnoliopsida; Poales; Poaceae. The record is from RNAcentral.